Molecule: ribosomal RNA, 1240 nt
Filed under: activated sludge metagenome
Description: bacterial LSU rRNA
Rfam family: Bacterial large subunit ribosomal RNA
Source: RNAcentral
CUCAGGAGAAGGAACUCGGCAAAUUGACACCGUAACUUCGGGAGAAGGUGUGCCCUUGUAGGGUGAAGUCCCUUGCGGAUGGAGCUCGAAAGGGUUGCAGUGAAAAGGUGGCUGCGACUGUUUAUUAAAAACACAGCACUCUGCAAACACGAAAGUGGACGUAUAGGGUGUGACGCCUGCCCGGUGCUGGAAGAUUAAAUGAUGGGGUGCAAGCUCUUGAUUGAAGUCCCAGUAAACGGCGGCCGUAACUAUAACGGUCCUAAGGUAGCGAAAUUCCUUGUCGGGUAAGUUCCGACCCGCACGAAUGGCGUAACGAUGGCCACACUGUCUCCUCCUGAGACUCAGCGAAGUUGAAAUGUUUGUGAAGAUGCAAUCUCCCCGCGGCUAGACGGAAAGACCCCAUGAACCUUUACUGUAGCUUUGCAUUGGACUUUGAACCGGUUUGUGUAGGAUAGGUGGGAGACUGUGAAGCCGGGACGCUAGUUUCGGUGGAGUCAACCUUGAAAUACCACCCUGAUUUGUUUGAGGUUCUAACCUUGGUCCGUGAAUCCGGAUCGGGGACCGUGCAUGGUAGGCAGUUUGACUGGGGCGGUCUCCUCCCAAAGUGUAACGGAGGAGUUCGAAGGUACGCUAGUUACGGUCGGACAUCGUGACGAUAGUGCAAUGGCAUAAGCGUGCUUAACUGCGAGACUGACAAGUCGAGCAGAUGCGAAAGCAGGACAUAGUGAUCCGGUGGUUCUGUAUGGAAGGGCCAUCGCUCAACGGAUAAAAGGUACUCCGGGGAUAACAGGCUGAUACCGCCCAAGAGUUCAUAUCGACGGCGGUGUUUGGCACCUCGAUGUCGGCUCAUCACAUCCUGGGGCUGUAGCCGGUCCCAAGGGUAUGGCUGUUCGCCAUUUAAAGUGGUACGUGAGCUGGGUUUAAAACGUCGUGAGACAGUUUGGUCCCUAUCUGCCGUGGGCGCUGGAAAUUUGAAGGGGGCUGCUCCUAGUACGAGAGGACCGGAGUGGACGAACCUCUGGUGUACCGGUUAUGACGCCAGUCGUAUCGCCGGGUAGCUAAGUUCGGAAGAGAUAACCGCUGAAAGCAUCUAAGCGGGAAACUUGCCUCAAGAUGAGACUUCCCUGGCAGCUUGACUGCCCUGAAGGGUCGUGGAAGACCACCACGUUGAUAGGUCGGGUGUGGAAGCGCAGUAAUGCGUUAAGCUAACCGAUACUAAUUGCCCGUGCGGCUUGAUCCU